UAUUUACAUUACAUAUCUUGCCGAAUCCUAACCACUAGGCCACUGGUAAACUCCCGAGAAUGAGAUAUUUAAUGUAAAUAAAUUUUUAGAUAACUGUAUUUCAUCCCUCAAAUGUAGCAAUUUUUAAAAUGACAAUUUUUUAUUUUAAAGCUUGAUAAUAUUUCCUUGCUUUCUUGGAAUUGUUUGUCUCUUCUUUUGGAGUUAGCUAUCUUUUCUGUCAGUAUACCUGCUUUCUUACAAAGCCAGUUUGAUUCACUGCUGUUUUGAGAAAUCGUAUCACCAAGGCUGUGAGAAUAUUGUAUGAGCUGAUAAUCAGUAAGUGCUGAAUUGUAGCUUGAGGAUGUGCCCUACAAAUACAAGUCAUAAAUUUGAAUGAGUUUGGGCCCUAUUUGUAUAUUUUUAUUUCUUGACUAUAUUCUGGAUAAUGCUCUGAAUAAUUGCAGUUAGGUUUGUAAAAUGCAUUAACUAAUGCUUUUAAUAAAUAUGAUUGAGACAAACAAAAGGGAUAAAGAAUAGUAUAAUACCAAUGUACCAACCACUCAAUUUAAGAAAUAAAAUGUUACUAAUACUGCUGUAUCUUUGAGUCCUUAUGAUGUGCCAAGUACUCUUCUAGGCAUUGUAUAUAUAGCAGUAAACAAAACAAAAAUCCCUGUCCUCAUGGAGUUUACAGUUUAGGAAGGAACUUACCAUUGCCUAAUAAUUGUUAGUGUUCUUGUUUUCAACAUUUCCCCAUCAUUUGUAGAAUGCUGAUUUGAAUUUUGUGUGAUCAUGAAUAUUAGGCAGAAUGAUUAUUGGCACUGAAUGCAAAUAAAGAACUAAUAGGCACUGAAGGAUGUUCUGUCAGGACAUUUGGCUUGGUGGAAUGUAUUUUGUACACACUAAGACAUUUAAUCUCUAAUAUUUGGCUUCAUUGCAUAGUCAACAUUAUCCUAUUGUUGGUAAACCUAGAUUCAUUAGGUCCAUAAGGAAAAGGUUCUGGGCCACCUCAAGUAAUGUUCUUGUGUGUACUUUAGUGAAGGAAAUAUAGCUUAUCUUUUGAGGCAGUUGAAAGAAAAUUGGCGUUUCAAAUUGAAAACUAAAACUUGAAAGAAAAAGUGGCACCUUAGAUCCAUUAACUUAGAUUUACUCUUUUUGUGAUAGACAUGAAAACUUAAACAAUGGUGAUAUACUGUAAAGAAAACUAGAAGAAGUAGCACUUUGAAUUACAGAUUUAGUGUUUCUUGUGAUGAACUAGAAACUUAAAAAAAAAAAUCUGUAGUGUACUAUGAAGAAAACCACAAACUAGAGCACUAUGAAAGAAACCAGGGUAAAUAGAAAUGAACAAACAUCAAAGUUAGCAUUAGACUAUAUAAUGCCUUCUAAACACUUUUUCU
This is a long non-coding RNA of Aethalodelphis obliquidens (Pacific white-sided dolphin), 1373 nucleotides long. RefSeq lists it as uncharacterized. NCBI's taxonomy places the organism in Eukaryota, Metazoa, Chordata, Mammalia, Artiodactyla, Delphinidae. The transcript has 3 exons. The record is from RefSeq and is a predicted model, not a curated record.